UUUAGUUUUGCUCUGCAGAUUCCCUUGAAAAUCUAUGGCUUUUCUACCCUGAAAGUUUGGUCUGCUGCUGGAUUCGGUUGUUUAAGCUGUUGUUUUCGAUUUAUGACCGUCUUUUGAUGCUGUAUUGGUUUUAAUUUUAGUUGGUUUUAAUUCUUAGGUUUUUAUUGUUGGUUUUAAUUUUAAAUCUUCGUUCUAGGUUUUAGUUGUUGGUUUCUUUAUUUUUUAUCUGGUUUAUGGUUUUUGGUUGGUUUAUGGCUUGAAGUGAUUGAGUUUUUUUUUUUUGUCUAUUGGUUCGUGUCAUUUUAGAUUUUUUUAGUCUAUUUUUGCUUCAUUUACUUAGUUUCAGUUGUGAUCAUUAUACUGAGUUUUUUUUGGUUCAUAGCAGUUUUUUAUCUUUAGGGAAAGUCAAAGGUCAUUUACAUUUGCUUGGUUAGGAGAACAUCAAGGUUGGCUGAGUGUCAGGUACAAAAUCGGUUGUUCUUCGAGUCUCAUAAUUUUAUUUUUGGUUUAGUUUGUUUUUUUAAUUGUCGUUCAGGAGAAAUAAAUGCGUUCCAGUGAUAGCUCUUGAA
This 569-nucleotide long non-coding RNA is filed under the name Patiria miniata (bat star). Its description in RNAcentral is "uncharacterized LOC119735407". The record is from RNAcentral. Lineage: Eukaryota; Metazoa; Echinodermata; Asteroidea; Valvatida; Asterinidae.